Molecule: ribosomal RNA, 215 nt
Filed under: uncultured Glomus
Lineage: Eukaryota; Fungi; Glomeromycota; Glomeromycetes; Glomerales; Glomeraceae
Description: partial 18S ribosomal RNA
Rfam family: Eukaryotic small subunit ribosomal RNA (bases 37-215)
Source: RNAcentral
GGAUCAGUACGCUGGUCGUGCCUUGGUAUGUACUGGUAUUAUUGAUUCCUACCUUCUGACGAACCAUGAUGUCAUUAAUUUGGUGUCAUGGGGAAUCAGGACUGUUACUUUGAAAAAAUUAGAGUGUUUAAAGCAGGCUCACGCUUGAAUACAUUAGCAUGGAAUAACGAAAUAGGACGUUUGAUUCUAUUUUGUUGGUUUCUAGGAUCGACGUA